This 234-nucleotide unclassified non-coding RNA is filed under the name Hevea brasiliensis (rubber tree). Lineage: Eukaryota; Viridiplantae; Streptophyta; Magnoliopsida; Malpighiales; Euphorbiaceae. The record is from RNAcentral.
AUCUACAUGACGCUGGCGACGUUGUUCCUUGCGCAGGCGACCAACACGCACCUGACGAUCUGGCAGGAGCUUGGCAUUCUCGGUAUCGCGAUCAUCACCUCGAAAGGCGCAUCAGGCGUGACCGGCGCAGGCUUUAUCACGCUGGCCGCCACGCUUGCGAUCGUGCCGGAUAUUCCGAUCGCGUCGCUGGCCAUCCUGGUCGGUAUCGACAAGUUCAUGAGCGAGUGCCGCGCG